This 2904-nucleotide ribosomal RNA is filed under the name Escherichia coli. Its description in RNAcentral is "23S ribosomal RNA". It matches the Rfam family "Bacterial large subunit ribosomal RNA". Lineage: Bacteria; Pseudomonadati; Pseudomonadota; Gammaproteobacteria; Enterobacterales; Enterobacteriaceae. The record is from RNAcentral.
GGUUAAGCGACUAAGCGUACACGGUGGAUGCCCUGGCAGUCAGAGGCGAUGAAGGACGUGCUAAUCUGCGAUAAGCGUCGGUAAGGUGAUAUGAACCGUUAUAACCGGCGAUUUCCGAAUGGGGAAACCCAGUGUGAUUCGUCACACUAUCAUUAACUGAAUCCAUAGGUUAAUGAGGCGAACCGGGGGAACUGAAACAUCUAAGUACCCCGAGGAAAAGAAAUCAACCGAGAUUCCCCCAGUAGCGGCGAGCGAACGGGGAGGAGCCCAGAGCCUGAAUCAGUGUGUGUGUUAGUGGAAGCGUCUGGAAAGGCGCGCGAUACAGGGUGACAGCCCCGUACACAAAAAUGCACAUGCUGUGAGCUCGAUGAGUAGGGCGGGACACGUGGUAUCCUGUCUGAAUAUGGGGGGACCAUCCUCCAAGGCUAAAUACUCCUGACUGACCGAUAGUGAACCAGUACCGUGAGGGAAAGGCGAAAAGAACCCCGGCGAGGGGAGUGAAAAAGAACCUGAAACCGUGUACGUACAAGCAGUGGGAGCACGCUUAGGCGUGUGACUGCGUACCUUUUGUAUAAUGGGUCAGCGACUUAUAUUCUGUAGCAAGGUUAACCGAAUAGGGGAGCCGAAGGGAAACCGAGUCUUAACUGGGCGUUAAGUUGCAGGGUAUAGACCCGAAACCCGGUGAUCUAGCCAUGGGCAGGUUGAAGGUUGGGUAACACUAACUGGAGGACCGAACCGACUAAUGUUGAAAAAUUAGCGGAUGACUUGUGGCUGGGGGUGAAAGGCCAAUCAAACCGGGAGAUAGCUGGUUCUCCCCGAAAGCUAUUUAGGUAGCGCCUCGUGAAUUCAUCUCCGGGGGUAGAGCACUGUUUCGGCAAGGGGGUCAUCCCGACUUACCAACCCGAUGCAAACUGCGAAUACCGGAGAAUGUUAUCACGGGAGACACACGGCGGGUGCUAACGUCCGUCGUGAAGAGGGAAACAACCCAGACCGCCAGCUAAGGUCCCAAAGUCAUGGUUAAGUGGGAAACGAUGUGGGAAGGCCCAGACAGCCAGGAUGUUGGCUUAGAAGCAGCCAUCAUUUAAAGAAAGCGUAAUAGCUCACUGGUCGAGUCGGCCUGCGCGGAAGAUGUAACGGGGCUAAACCAUGCACCGAAGCUGCGGCAGCGACGCUUAUGCGUUGUUGGGUAGGGGAGCGUUCUGUAAGCCUGCGAAGGUGUGCUGUGAGGCAUGCUGGAGGUAUCAGAAGUGCGAAUGCUGACAUAAGUAACGAUAAAGCGGGUGAAAAGCCCGCUCGCCGGAAGACCAAGGGUUCCUGUCCAACGUUAAUCGGGGCAGGGUGAGUCGACCCCUAAGGCGAGGCCGAAAGGCGUAGUCGAUGGGAAACAGGUUAAUAUUCCUGUACUUGGUGUUACUGCGAAGGGGGGACGGAGAAGGCUAUGUUGGCCGGGCGACGGUUGUCCCGGUUUAAGCGUGUAGGCUGGUUUUCCAGGCAAAUCCGGAAAACUAAGGCUGAGGCGUGAUGACGAGGCACUACGGUGCUGAAGCAACAAAUGCCCUGCUUCCAGGAAAAGCCUCUAAGCAUCAGGUAACAUCAAAUCGUACCCCAAACCGACACAGGUGGUCAGGUAGAGAAUACCAAGGCGCUUGAGAGAACUCGGGUGAAGGAACUAGGCAAAAUGGUGCCGUAACUUCGGGAGAAGGCACGCUGAUAUGUAGGUGAAGUCCCUCGCGGAUGGAGCUGAAAUCAGUCGAAGAUACCAGCUGGCUGCAACUGUUUAUUAAAAACACAGCACUGUGCAAACACGAAAGUGGACGUAUACGGUGUGACGCCUGCCCGGUGCCGGAAGGUUAAUUGAUGGGGUUAGCGCAAGCGAAGCUCUUGAUCGAAGCCCCGGUAAACGGCGGCCGUAACUAUAACGGUCCUAAGGUAGCGAAAUUCCUUGUCGGGUAAGUUCCGACCUGCACGAAUGGCGUAAUGAUGGCCAGGCUGUCUCCACCCGAGACUCAGUGAAAUUGAACUCGCUGUGAAGAUGCAGUGUACCCGCGGCAAGACGGAAAGACCCCGUGAACCUUUACUAUAGCUUGACACUGAACAUUGAGCCUUGAUGUGUAGGAUAGGUGGGAGGCUUUGAAGUGUGGACGCCAGUCUGCAUGGAGCCGACCUUGAAAUACCACCCUUUAAUGUUUGAUGUUCUAACGUUGACCCGUGAUCCGGGUUGCGGACAGUGUCUGGUGGGUAGUUUGACUGGGGCGGUCUCCUCCUAAAGAGUAACGGAGGAGCACGAAGGUUGGCUAAUCCUGGUCGGACAUCAGGAGGUUAGUGCAAUGGCAUAAGCCAGCUUGACUGCGAGCGUGACGGCGCGAGCAGGUGCGAAAGCAGGUCAUAGUGAUCCGGUGGUUCUGAAUGGAAGGGCCAUCGCUCAACGGAUAAAAGGUACUCCGGGGAUAACAGGCUGAUACCGCCCAAGAGUUCAUAUCGACGGCGGUGUUUGGCACCUCGAUGUCGGCUCAUCACAUCCUGGGGCUGAAGUAGGUCCCAAGGGUAUGGCUGUUCGCCAUUUAAAGUGGUACGCGAGCUGGGUUUAGAACGUCGUGAGACAGUUCGGUCCCUAUCUGCCGUGGGCGCUGGAGAACUGAGGGGGGCUGCUCCUAGUACGAGAGGACCGGAGUGGACGCAUCACUGGUGUUCGGGUUGUCAUGCCAAUGGCACUGCCCGGUAGCUAAAUGCGGAAGAGAUAAGUGCUGAAAGCAUCUAAGCACGAAACUUGCCCCGAGAUGAGUUCUCCCUGACUCCUUGAGAGUCCUGAAGGAACGUUGAAGACGACGACGUUGAUAGGCCGGGUGUGUAAGCGCAGCGAUGCGUUGAGCUAACCGGUACUAAUGAACCGUGAGGCUUAACCUU